This 430-nucleotide ribosomal RNA is filed under the name Pseudomonadota bacterium. Its description in RNAcentral is "Proteobacteria bacterium partial 16S ribosomal RNA". It matches the Rfam family "Bacterial small subunit ribosomal RNA", at positions 355 to 776 of the family's 1533-position model. Lineage: Bacteria; Pseudomonadati; Pseudomonadota. The record is from RNAcentral.
UGGGGAAUACUGGACAAUGGGGGGAACCCUGAUCCAGCCAUGCCGCGUGUGUGAAGAAGGCCUUAUGGUUGUAAAGCACUUUAAGCGAGGAGGAGGGUACUGGUAUUAAUACUACCAGGUACUGGACGUUACUCGCAGAAUAAGCACCGGCUAACUCUGUGCCAGCAGCCGCGGUAAUACAGAGGGUGCGAGCGUUAAUCGGAUUUACUGGGCGUAAAGCGUGCGUAGGCGGCUAAUUGAGUCGGAUGUGAAAUCCCCGAGCUUAACUUGGGAAUUGCAUUCGAUACUGGUUAGCUAGAGUGUGGGAGAGGAUGGUAGAAUUCCAGGUGUAGCGGUGAAAUGCGUAGAGAUCUGGAGGAAUACCGAUGGCGAAGGCAGCCAUCUGGCCUAACACUGACGCUGAGGUACGAAAGCAUGGGGAGCAAACAGG